This 511-nucleotide long non-coding RNA is filed under the name Gopherus agassizii (Agassiz's desert tortoise). Its description in RNAcentral is "lncRNA (ENSGAGG00000001589.1)". The record is from RNAcentral. Lineage: Eukaryota; Metazoa; Chordata; Testudines; Testudinidae.
GCCAGCCUGGCUCAGAGAACCCAGCAUGGCCCAGAUACUAAUGAUCUUAGCUCUCGGCACCAUCCUGACCAAUGUGACCCAGGACAGACCGUUGCCUUGGCCUUGGCACCCAGAUCUGUGCCAAGCCUUUGGGUGCCAGGAGCCAGUGAAGCAGGACGAAUGCGAGAAGGAACUCUACAAUAUCCAGACCCACCUUUGCUGCAGGAACUUCACACACAGUAAGGUGAUGGAAAAACCCAGCCCGACUUCCGAAUGCUGUGGCUUCGAAGUCUAUGAUCAGAAAACGCAGGAGUGUUGCGAAGACCUCAGCAUAAAGCCCAAGCAGGACUGCAGACAAAUGGGCAAGAAAUCCGUCUCCUGCAGAUCAGGUGCGGAGAGAUGCGGCUCUCUCUCAGCAGCGCCGGGUGAAAAGCAAAGAAACGGAUGAUAUAGAAGACAAGGGCCUCGCAGGCAGGAGGUCUCAGCAGGGGGGAGGGGUGGGGUUAGCGGGAGGCUGGUGUUUUUUAUCCGG